Molecule: ribosomal RNA, 464 nt
Filed under: uncultured bacterium
Lineage: Bacteria
Description: bacterial SSU rRNA
Rfam family: Bacterial small subunit ribosomal RNA
Source: RNAcentral
GACGAACGCUGGCGGCGUGCCUAACACAUGCAAGUCGAACGGAGUUGUCUCUUCGGAGAUAACUUAGUGGCGAACGGGUGAGUAACGCGUGAGAAACCUGCCUUUCAGUGGGGGACAACAGUUGGAAACGACUGCUAAUACCGCAUAACGUAUCGAGGGGGCAUCCUCUUGAUACCAAAGCUUUAUGUGCUGAAAGAUGGUCUCGCGUCUGAUUAGCUAGAUGGCGGGGUAACGGCCCACCAUGGCGACGAUCAGUAGCCGGUCUGAGAGGAUGAACGGCCACAUUGGGACUGAGAUACGGCCCAGACUCCUACGGGAGGCAGCAGUGGGGAAUAUUGGGCAAUGGGGGAAACCCUGACCCAGCAACGCCGCGUGAAGGAAGAAGGCCUUCGGGUUGUAAACUUCUUUUACCAGGGACGAAGAACGUGACGGUACCUGGAGAAAAAGCAACGGCUAACUACGUG